Molecule: transfer RNA, 41 nt
Filed under: Apodemus speciosus (large Japanese field mouse)
Lineage: Eukaryota; Metazoa; Chordata; Mammalia; Rodentia; Muridae
Description: partial tRNA-Phe
Source: RNAcentral
GUUAAUGUAGCUUAAGACAAAAGCAAAGCACUGAAAAUGCU